UCUGAGGAAGCUGUCUUUGACUGUUGGCUACCAAGUAUAGUAUUUAUCCUGUCACACCUCUUUUUCUUUUUUAGUCAUCAUAUUUUCUCUGACUUGAUCGAUUUAAAAUGCAGCUGCUUCAUAUUCUCGUCAAUCGGUCGGACCGCUCGGUCAGGAAGGCACAAUUACGAGAGGUCGAGAAGAAAGUCGAGAUGGAUGCCCAAGUAGUUCAGGUGAAAGUUAACGAACUAGAGGCUGAGGCCAAGCAUUUCCAGGGGGCCCUUGGGCAAGUGGAGUCUGAUCUUGUCCACGCCC
Molecule: long non-coding RNA, 294 nt
Filed under: Elaeis guineensis (African oil palm)
Lineage: Eukaryota; Viridiplantae; Streptophyta; Magnoliopsida; Arecales; Arecaceae
Description: long non-coding RNA (EGUI_LNC013744)
Source: RNAcentral